GCCUGGAGUCGAGAGCCGAGAGCGUAGAUCAGCCCAGACAGUAUGCGAAGGGAGGUCAGAGUGAGUGAGAUUAUUCCAGAAAGCAGAGGAGAUGGAAUCAGGGAGGUUAGCAGGGAGUCAGGAAUAAACCAGGGUUGAGCUGUGGGAAAGCUAGGAAAUGAGCCUGGGAUCCUGACGUGGGAACGUGUCAGACACCGGCCUAAUUAGGGGGUUGACCUUACUCUCUGCGUGUUAACGAAGAGCAAUGUCUUCCGCGGCCGUGGACCUUUCCAGCCUCGCCCGACACUCGAGGGGAGCGAGAGGAGCGAAACUGAGACGGAGAUGGAUGCCUGCAGGGCAGCACCGUGCUGGGUUGUAGUGUUGGGACUCAUCUGGGAGGGACAGGGGUGCGGAGUCCGCGUGAGGCACCUCAUUCAGCGAGUCCAGUUGCCUUGCACUGAGCUUGCAGCCGAGCCCACAGCGGCCAGGAAAAGCCAUCCCCUCCCACAUGGGGCUGAAAGACGGAGACAGACAGGUAACAACAAGGACCUGGGUAAACACUGAAUUGCAAACUACAAAACAUCACAACCCAAAUCCAAGAUGCCGUGAUACACGUCAGAGGGUCUAGAAAUGGUCUGGGCCACCGGGGAGAGCCUUUUCUUAAGGUGUGAUUUUUUAGCUCAUCUAAGAGCUCCCAUUGAGCAGAGGAAGGUCCUGAGGUGGAACUUGCUGGGUCAGAAGUUAUUUCCGGGAAGAAGCAGACUAUUCCAGGCAAUGGGAAGGGCAUGUUCAAAGGCCCUGAGGCCAGAGGGAACAUGCUGUUUCUCAGGUCUACAAAGAAGGUCAAGGAGGUUUGAGGGGGGAGGUUUGCAUGAAAUAAGACCAGAAAGUCGCGUGGGUCAUGGAGACGUGGCUACUUAUCCCAAAAGCAUAGGGAGGCAGCUACUCUUUUACUUUAAAAUGUUGGAUGGAUGAAAAUCUUACGGUGACAAUUGGACACGCAAGUAAUUUCUGUUUAAUAUGAAUGGAAGUUUAAAAUCCAUGCAGUGUCACACGCUGGAAGGCUCCUUCGUGAUAGCUGGGGCUUCUGUCUGCAAACAUCCGAGACGUGAGCGCGGGCUGCAGCCAAUACACGCUCCGCGUCAACCAACAGGCCGCGCCGCUGGUUCUUCCCAACCGGGUGAUCCUCGUAAGCAGCCUGUGGACUCGACUCGACCUCAGAUCUACAAAAUGACGGGCUGUCCUUCCUCCCCGAAGGGGACUGCAGUGCUCGGGGCAGUCCCAGAGCAAGGGGUGCAGCACCCCUCCGGGUCCUCAGCCUGACCACCGAGGGGGCUCGAUCCAUCGGGGCUGGGGUGGGGCAGGGGCAUGGGCUGAGCUUCCCACAGGAGCCAGUACUGGGGAAACCACACAGGCCACCGCUUCCUAAGGCCCGAAUGACCCCCCGGAGGAGGCCCGAAAGCCUGAAAGAAAGCAGGCCUAGAGGAUCAGGGAAACGAAUCUGUAACAGAGGCAAGGCAGUUUGGGAGCCUUGUUUUCCAAUUAAAAGACCUUAAAAUCGGGAAGUACACCACACAGCACCAGUGGGGGUGUCAAUGGGCCCAACUUUUGGAGACCCAGGUUGGCAGCGUGCAUCGCGAGCCUUAAAAAUGUCCAUACGGGGCAGCCCGGGGGGCUCAGCGGUUUAGUGCCGCCUGCAGCCCAGGGCGUGACCCCGGGUCCCGGGAUCGAGUCCCAUGUCGGGCUCCCUGCAUGGAGCCUGCCUCUCCCUCUCCCUCUGCCUGGGUCUCUGCCUCUCUCCAUGUCUCAUGAAUAAAUAAAUAAAAUCCUAAAAAAAAAAAAAACCCA
Long non-coding RNA from Nyctereutes procyonoides (raccoon dog), 1827 nucleotides. RefSeq lists it as uncharacterized. The record is from RefSeq and is a predicted model, not a curated record. NCBI's taxonomy places the organism in Eukaryota, Metazoa, Chordata, Mammalia, Carnivora, Canidae. The transcript has 2 exons.